RNAcentral lists this ribosomal RNA (480 nucleotides) under uncultured bacterium. RNAcentral describes it as "partial 16S ribosomal RNA". It matches the Rfam family "Bacterial small subunit ribosomal RNA", at positions 28 to 507 of the family's 1533-position model. The record is from RNAcentral.
GACGAACGCUGGCGGCGCGCUUAACACAUGCAAGUCGAGCGAUGAAACUUUAACAUUACCCUUCGGGCCGAAGAUACAGUGGAUUAGCGGCCGACUGGUGAGUAACACUUUAGGAACCUGCCUUCUACAUUGGGAUAGCCUCAGUAACCCGGGAUUAAUACCAAAUAAAAUCAUAAUGACACAUGUCAUAACUAUCAAAACUCCGGUGGUCUAAGAUGGACUCGCAUCCCAUUAGCUAGUUGGUAGAGUAAAAGCCUACCAAGGCGACGCUGGCUAGCCGGGAUGAGAGGGUGAACGGCGACAUUGGAGCGGAGAAGCGGUAGAAACUCCUACGGGAGGCAGCAGUGGGGAAUAUUGCAACAUGGAGGGAACUAUGAUGCAGCGACGACGGGUGAACGAAGAAGGCUUUCGAGUAGUAAAGUGCAUGUAUAUGGGCAGAUAAUGACGGUACCAUAAGAGAAAGCCCCGGCUAACUACGUG